UACGGGGGGGGCAAGCGUUGUUCGGAAUUACUGGGCGUAAAGGGCUCGUAGGCGGCCAACUAAGUCGGACGUGAAAUCCCUCGGCUUAACCGGGGAACUGCGUCCGAUACUGGAUGGCUUGAGGUUGGGAGAGGGAUGCGGAAUUCCAGGUGUAGCGGUGAAAUGCGUAGAUAUCAGGAAGAACACCCGUGGCUAAGGCGGCUCUCUAGUACGGUACUGACGCUGAGACGCGAAAGCGUGGGGAGCGAACAGG
This 253-nucleotide ribosomal RNA is filed under the name uncultured bacterium. RNAcentral describes it as "partial 16S ribosomal RNA". It matches the Rfam family "Bacterial small subunit ribosomal RNA", at positions 524 to 776 of the family's 1533-position model. The record is from RNAcentral.